UACAGAGGUCCCAAGCGUUGUUCGGAUUCACUGGGCGUAAAGGGUACGUAGGUGGCGGGGUAAGUCGGAUGUGAAAGCUCGGAGCUCAACUCCGAAAUGGCAUUGGAAACUACCUUGCUCGAGGGUUGGAGGGGGGACUGGAAUUCUCGGUGUAGCAGUGAAAUGCGUAGAUAUCGAGAGGAACACCAGUGGCGAAGGCGAGUCCCUGGACAACUCCUGACACUGAGGCACGAAAGCUAGGGGAGCAAACAGG
RNAcentral lists this ribosomal RNA (253 nucleotides) under uncultured bacterium. Its description in RNAcentral is "partial 16S ribosomal RNA". It matches the Rfam family "Bacterial small subunit ribosomal RNA", at positions 524 to 776 of the family's 1533-position model. The record is from RNAcentral.